UACGAAGGGGGCUAGCGUUGCUCGGAAUCACUGGGCGUAAAGCGCACGUAGGCGGCUUUCUAAGUCAGGGGUGAAAUCCCGGAGCUCAACUCCGGAACUGCCUUUGAUACUGGAAGGCUCGAGUCCGGGAGAGGUGAGUGGAACUGCGAGUGUAGAGGUGAAAUUCGUAGAUAUUCGCAAGAACACCAGUGGCGAAGGCGGCUCACUGGCCCGGUACUGACGCUGAGGUGCGAAAGCGUGGGGAG
This 245-nucleotide ribosomal RNA is filed under the name uncultured Rhodoplanes sp. Its description in RNAcentral is "partial 16S ribosomal RNA". It matches the Rfam family "Bacterial small subunit ribosomal RNA", at positions 524 to 768 of the family's 1533-position model. Lineage: Bacteria; Pseudomonadati; Pseudomonadota; Alphaproteobacteria; Hyphomicrobiales; Nitrobacteraceae. The record is from RNAcentral.